AACAAAUCAUUCACAAUGUUACCACAUAAUUAGAUCAAAUCUAUUAACAUGAUCACUUAAUAAUUUUUCUUAGUUUUAACAGAUCCAAAAAAUAUAUAUAUGUAAAGUUUCGGACCCAUUGCUGCAAAGAGUCUAGAUUGCAAAUAAUUUAAAAUACAAAAAAAAAGAAAUUAAUUACAAUAGGCCCGAAGAAGAAAGAAAUCGGACUGUCCGGAGAAAGACGACAGAAAAUCUAGCUGUCACCUAAAAAUUAAAAUUGAGACUGCCAGUCUCGAAAAUGAGUUAAAAUCAUAUAAUCCAAGUAAAUAAAAAUAUCUCAGUGAAAUAUUUAUUUUGUCAAAAUAAAUUAUUAUAUUAUAUUAAAAGGCAUGUUAUAUCCUAUUUCAGAAAAACACCAUUUAGCAUGUACGGGACAAGUACCUCAGCAGAACUCUAGACUCCAAUACCAUUAGCCAAUCGGCUCUCUUAUUUUGAUGAUACUGGCGCCCAGAGAGCGAAGCUCAACUAGAGUCCGUAAAUCCAGUCUGGACACUUAAUUUCUAAUGUAGCUGGCGCCUAGAGAGGAACGCUUGACUAGGAACCUUUCCUCUAGCAAUCAAAUUUCCAUAGCCCAGGGAGUUAUACUCGACAAGGCCACAUCACAAAAAUAUUCUCUUAUUAUUUGUUCUUGAUUUAUACUAGUAUGCACGCGGUCUUGAUGCAACCCAUCAAGUAGUAUGUUUUACUGCAAUCUCAUCCUAAGUCAUACUACAAUCAUGACAUUAAUAACAUGAAAAAUGACAUAAUUCGUAAGCAAUCUUACGAUUGAACAAUUCAAAAGCAAUCUUACUAUUGUUCAAUAACUUAUUAAAUAAGAUUGAACAGAACACGUAUUGCAUAUAUAAACUUAAUUAAUUAAAUUCCUAGAUCAAUUAAUUAAAUAAAUAAUUUAGAUCCAUAAAUCAAUUAAUUAAAUAUAUAAUAGUAAAUAAUAAAAAAUUUCAAAUUAUAAUCAAAAUAAUGAAAAUAUAUUAAUAUGAUGAUAAUACUAAUAAUAUUUGUAAUAAUUAUUAGUCGAAAAUGCUACAUAAAAAUUGGCAGGCAUAUAUGCAGAGGAUAUGACUUUAACUCACAGUUCUGACGACCCUCUUGCUGUGCUCCUACGACUCUGGUGGGGCAGGUUAGAUAGACGGGUUAUCUAUUCACGGGAACAACAACCUAGGCUUAAAUUCAUAGAAUUGAUUGUCUAAGAAUUUCGACUCAAAAAUUCUACCAAAAAUUUGGCAAAAUCUCAUCUAAAAUAUAGAAAUUUAUGCUCCGUAUAACAGGUCUAGAACCUGCUAAAAACACUUCAAAAAUUCCCCAAUUAUUUAACAGGGGCUGUGCCACCAGAACUACAUUAUUUUUUUUCAAUUUCGCAACGCAAUUCAGAUAGAGAUUAUUUAUCUACUCGGCAUAAAUAUUUAAUUUACAACCAACUCUAAUAAGUAAUUUGCUCGUAUCUAAAUUAAUUAUUCAAAACGAUAUUUAUCACAAAACAAAAUAAUAACUAAUCAUACUAAUAAAUUCAUAAGAUUUAUAAUUAAAUUAUCAAUUAAUUAAAUCAAAUUAAAUUAAAUUAUCUAUUAUUGACAAUUAGUAGUAAUAAUAUUUUCUAAAAUUUUUAAGGUUGAAAUAAAAUUUACCGACUCCCAAAAUCUAAAAUUUGCACAUCCUGAAAACUCCAGGAUAUAACGGUGUCAGAAUUCGAACCCAUAAACGCUUAUGCGAAGCUUGAGGUAUGGAGAGUCCGAAAACACUGAAAUCACGACCAACUCUCGCUUGGAGGACGCCAGAUCGCGGCCGAAAAAGUGCUGCUCUAGUGAAACUACACCAAAGCUGUCGGAGACGAUGAAGGCUAGAGGAUGAGCUGUUCUUGGGUUUCAGAGGGUGGGGAACACAAACCCACCGUCGGAUUUGCAAGUAAGAGGUGGCAAGCGGCUGGUUGCACGGUGGCAGCGGGGAAGGAAUGAGAAGAGGAAGACGAUGCUAGCGAGAAGAGAGAAAAAGAAAAAAAAAAUGGUGGGUUGUUAGAGGUGCAGGCAGCGGAAAUGGAGGUAGGGAGGAGGAGGAGGAGGAGGAGUGUGACGUCGGGGAAGAAAAAGGAUGGGGAGGGCUUGAAAGAAAUUUUCC
This 2151-nucleotide long non-coding RNA is filed under the name Ricinus communis (castor bean). RNAcentral describes it as "long non-coding RNA (RCOM_LNC002851)". Lineage: Eukaryota; Viridiplantae; Streptophyta; Magnoliopsida; Malpighiales; Euphorbiaceae. The record is from RNAcentral.